GGACCAAACUUAUCGCUUGCUGCAUAUACAAGUUGGUAAAAUGGUUCACAAAAACUCUGCUGUUUACAUGAUUCCGUUCAUCCUAUUGCUGUUGCUUGCAUCCAAUACACUAGUAGUGUGUUCUGAUUUUUCCCCAGCAACAAAAAUCAAAGAAAACAGUAGGUUUCAUUGGGGCAUAAGGAAAAUCGGCGUACGAAAGCCUCCUACACCGGGAGGUCCUCAAGGUGAUCAAGGUGGCAACAUACCUUGACAUGAUGCAGAGAUCUAGCACAAUUUUUUUUUUUCUUUCUUUCAAGAUCUGGCAUAAAUAACCACGUGGUGUGGUGUGUUGGUCGAACGGCCUAAUCUAGAACCCCCAGGUCUAGCAUUCGAAUCCUAGCUCCAUCCUGUGGCUAGCAGAUUUGAGGGACUCUUUGGGUUCGUGCGUCUGCUGUGCAAUAGAUUAGUCUGGCUUUCGCUGCAAUGUCGGUGCAGGUGUCCUAGUGCUGGGAUACCACUGCAUGGGUGUGUGAGUUACUAACAGCUAACUACCCGAUCAAAAAAAGAUCUGACAUAAAUAUAAUGAAAUACUGUUUGCAUAAAAACAUUUAGUGUUUUUUUUUUU
Long non-coding RNA from Rosa chinensis, 604 nucleotides. RefSeq lists it as uncharacterized. The record is from RefSeq and is a predicted model, not a curated record. The transcript has 3 exons. Lineage: Eukaryota; Viridiplantae; Streptophyta; Magnoliopsida; Rosales; Rosaceae.